Molecule: ribosomal RNA, 274 nt
Filed under: uncultured bacterium
Lineage: Bacteria
Description: partial 16S ribosomal RNA
Rfam family: Bacterial small subunit ribosomal RNA
Source: RNAcentral
AUACAGAGAGUGCAAGCGUUAAUCGGAAUAACUGGGCGUAAAGCGCACGUAGGUGGACAUUUAAGUCGGAUGUGAAAGCCCUAGGCUUAACCUAGGAACUGCAUCCGAAACUGGGCGUCUUGAGUAUAGUAGAGGGAAGUGGAAUUUCCGGUGUAGCGGUGAAAUGCGUAGAUAUCGGAAAGAACACCAGUGGCGAAGGCGUCUUCCUGGACUAAUACUGACACUGAGGUGCGAAAGCGUGGGGAGCAAACAGGAUUAGAAACCCUUGUAGUCC